RNAcentral lists this ribosomal RNA (411 nucleotides) under Bacteroidota bacterium. RNAcentral describes it as "Bacteroidetes bacterium partial 16S ribosomal RNA". It matches the Rfam family "Bacterial small subunit ribosomal RNA", at positions 355 to 776 of the family's 1533-position model. Lineage: Bacteria; Pseudomonadati; Bacteroidota. The record is from RNAcentral.
UGGGGAAUAUUGCGCAAUGGGGGAAACCCUGACGCAGCGACGCCGCGUGCGGGAUGAAGGCCUUCGGGUUGUAAACCGCUUUUGAUUGGGAGCAAGCUUUCGGGUGAGUGUACCUUUCGAAUAAGCGCCGGCUAACUACGUGCCAGCAGCCGCGGUAAUACGUAGGGCGCAAGCGUUAUCCGGAAUUAUUGGGCGUAAAGCGAGCGCAGGCGGUCAAUUAAGUCUGAUGUGAAAGCCCCCGGCUCAACCGGGGAGGGUCAUUGGAAACUGGUUGACUUGAGUCCAGAAGAGGAGAGUGGAAUUCCAUGUGUAGCGGUGAAAUGCGUAGAUAUAUGGAGGAACACCAGUGGCGAAGGCGACUCUCUGGUCUGUAACUGACGCUGAGGCUCGAAAGCGUGGGUAGCGAACAGG